GAUGAACGCUGGCGGCGUGCCUAAUACAUGCAAGUCGAGCGAACAGAUGAGGAGCUUGCUCCUCUGACGUUAGCGGCGGACGGGUGAGUAACACGUGGAUAACCUACCUAUAAGACUGGGAUAACUUCGGGAAACCGGAUCUAAUACCGGAUAAUAUAUUGAACCGCAUUGUUCAAUAGUGAAAGACGGUUUUGCUGUCACUUAUAGAUGGAUCCGCGCCGCAUUAGCUAGUUGGUAAGGUAACGGCUUACCAAGGCAACGCUGGGUAGCCGACCUGCGAGGGGGAUCGGCCACACUGGAACUGAAACACGGACAAGACUCCUACGGGAGGCAGCAGUAGGGAACCUUCCGCAAUGGGCGAAAGCAUGACGGAGCAACGCCGCGUGAGUGAUGAAGGUCUUCGGAUCGUAAAAAUCUGUUAUUAGGGAAGAACAAAUGUGUAAGUAACUAUGCACGUCUUGACGGUACCUACUCAGAAAGCCACGGCUAACUACGUG
RNAcentral lists this ribosomal RNA (497 nucleotides) under uncultured bacterium. RNAcentral's name for it is "partial 16S ribosomal RNA". It matches the Rfam family "Bacterial small subunit ribosomal RNA", at positions 28 to 507 of the family's 1533-position model. The record is from RNAcentral.